GCGCCGAUGGUCUAGUGGUAGAAUUCCUCGUUGCCAACGAGGCGGCCCGUGUUCGAUUCACGGUCGGCGCA
RNAcentral lists this transfer RNA (71 nucleotides) under Candidatus Pacearchaeota archaeon. Its description in RNAcentral is "tRNA-Gly". It matches the Rfam family "tRNA". Rfam says of the family: Transfer RNA (tRNA) molecules are approximately 80 nucleotides in length. Their secondary structure includes four short double-helical elements and three loops (D, anti-codon, and T loops). Lineage: Archaea; Nanobdellati. The record is from RNAcentral.